GGCCGGGCCGCCCAGAGCUCGCCAUUGGGCCUCACUCCCGGGGUCCCGAGCGCCGGCCAUGCUGAUUGGCCGCUGGGGCUUCAUUCACAGCCCCCCUACAGUCCGCAUACACACUCACGCCCCGGGGGCGCGGCCGCCACGUGGGGAGUGGCGCGGGGGUGGUACUGGGACCGCACCCCCUCUCGUCCUGGCUGCGUGGGCCCGCUUUCCCCGGUCUCUGGAGACUCCGAGCCCGGCGGGUCCCACGCUCCACGCGAGCAGAAUUCCCGCAGGUCUCCCGCCCGGGUGGCCAGAGGCGGUGGCGGGGAUGGCGGGCUCCGGGAGGCGCUCCGGCUCCGAGAAGCCGCUUAGCCCCGCGCUCCUCCCUCCGCAGUGCCGCCGCCGGCGGGCCGGGAUUCCCGCGGGUCUCGGCGGCCGCGAGCUGCAGGCGGCGCGGGUCCCCGGCUCGGUUGGUCACCUUGCCCGCCUCGCCUCCCACGGCUUCCAGCGGGCGCGGAGCUCUCCUCUGCGCGCCUCCCCGGCCCGUCUCGGUUUCCCUUCUUCGUCCUCUAGACCAUCCAGCGCAACUCCGUCGACCUCCGCGGCCCUGAGAGAGCAUCCGGCGCGGGCAGAGGCGUACCGGCCCGACCUCACGCCUCUCAUGGACUCUUCUCCAGGGUACCAUGGCCCAGAUUGGGACUAUCAGUACCAUAGGCAGCCCACCUGUCUCACUAAGGAAAAGGAACAGAGAAGAGGAAAUGGAAAAGUUGCUCAAAAUUCAGAGGCCAAGGAAGGAGUCUGGUGGAUAAAGAAACCUGGGGAAGAAGGCUUUUUGGAUAGCACAAAGGAAAAGGAAGAUCUUGUUCUGAUGGGCUAUACUAACUUGGAAGUCAUGACUCCAUCUGUCUUCCCAUCCACCCAACCAUCUGUCUAUCAUCC
This is a long non-coding RNA of Bos indicus x Bos taurus (hybrid cattle), 918 nucleotides long. The record is from Ensembl. Lineage: Eukaryota; Metazoa; Chordata; Mammalia; Artiodactyla; Bovidae.